UGUUUCUCAUUUAUAUUAUGUGAUUUGUUUCUCAUUUAUAUUGCCUCAAUUAAAAUCUGUCUCUUUACACCUCUAUAUUUUGUGUGUCUUCAUGCAUAUACCAUGUUCGAUAAAAUGCCUCAAUUAAAAUAGUUUAAUUUUUAAUGUUAGCUGCUUAUAUAAUUCUACUUUUUUUGUUGUUAAAAUAGUGAGUGAAUUUAUUAUAACAGGCCAAGUAAAUGUAGUGUACGGUGGUAAGGUUUAGCAAAAAUAGAGGUAUAUUCAAAUCAGUGAUACAAACAGUGGGAGUUGGAUGUUAUUUUUAAUAAUAAACAAUAGGCAAAUUUUGGACAAGGGAUAAUGGAGCUUGACAGGUCUACACUUUUUUAAGCUGAAGUUUUUCUUAUCUCCCAAGCACUGCUACUCUCCAGGUAUGCAUUCAAUGGAAUCACAGAAAAAGUUAGAAACAAAGCUUAAGAGACACAAAGCAUUGGAACAGAGCAUUGAAAAUCAUUAUGUUUCGUUUCAAUCAAAGCAAAAGAGACCCAUCAAUUUGGGUUUGUGUUUCUAAGAUUUGGAUUUGUAUUUGUAUUUGUUUUUCUAAACCUUAAACUGAUGUGUUUGUGUUGGAUUUGUGUUUCUAAACCUUAAACUGAUAUGUAUUUGAGUUUCUUUUUC
Camellia sinensis is the source of this 657-nucleotide non-coding RNA. The record is from RefSeq and is a predicted model, not a curated record. NCBI's taxonomy places the organism in Eukaryota, Viridiplantae, Streptophyta, Magnoliopsida, Ericales, Theaceae.